GUUCCCAAUGAUGCUUUUACGAUUAACCAUGCUAAUUCCGAUGAACUAGUGACGGAAAACGUUUGAUUAAUAUCUGAUGGGAACG
Ipomoea nil (Japanese morning glory) is the source of this 85-nucleotide small nucleolar RNA. It matches the Rfam family "Small nucleolar RNA snoR53Y". The record is from Rfam. Lineage: Eukaryota; Viridiplantae; Streptophyta; Magnoliopsida; Solanales; Convolvulaceae.